This 1398-nucleotide ribosomal RNA is filed under the name metagenome. Its description in RNAcentral is "bacterial LSU rRNA". It matches the Rfam family "Bacterial large subunit ribosomal RNA", at positions 1517 to 2899 of the family's 2925-position model. The record is from RNAcentral.
GGUGUAGGGCGAGGUGUAGGCAAAUCCGCACCUCACAUAGCCUGAGACCUGACAGUGACCGCGAAUGCGGGAAGCAGGGUGAUCCCUUGCUGCCAAGAAAAUCUUCUAGCGAGGUUCGAGCCGCCCGUACCCCAAACCGACUCAGGUGGUCAGGUAGAGAAUACCAAGGCGAUCGAGUGAAUCGUGGUUAAGGAAUUCGGCGAAAUACCCCCGUAACUUCGGGAGAAGGGGGGCCCUGAUCGUGACGGCACUUGCUGCCCGAGCGUGAUCGGCCGCAGAGACCAGGGAGAAGCGACUGUUUACUAAAAACACAGGUCCGUGCGAAGUCGCAAGACGAUGUAUACGGACUGACGCCUGCCCGGUGCUGGAACGUUAAGGGGACCGGUUAGCCUCACGGCGAAGCUGAGAACUUAAGCGCCAGUAAACGGCGGUGGUAACUAUAACCAUCCUAAGGUAGCGAAAUUCCUUGUCGGGUAAGUUCCGACCUGCACGAAUGGCGUAACGAUUUCUCCACUGUCUCAACCACGAACUCGGCGAAAUUGCACUACGAGUAAAGAUGCUCGUUACGCGCAGAAGGACGGAAAGACCCCGGGACCUUUACUAUAGCUUGAUAUUGGUCUUCGGUGCGGCUUGUGUAGGAUAGGUGGGAGACUGUGAAGUCGGCACGCCAGUGUCGGUGGAGUCAACGUUGAAAUACCACUCUGGUCGUUCUGGAGAUCUAACCUCGGUCCGUGAUCCGGAUCAGGGACAGUGUCUGGUGGGUAGUUUAACUGGGGCGGUUGCCUCCUAAAAGGUAACGGAGGCGCUCGAAGGUUCCCUCAGCCUGGUUGGCAAUCAGGUGUCGAGUGUAAGUGCACAAGGGAGCUUGACUGUGAGACAGACAUGUCGAGCAGCACGAAAGUCGGAACUAGUGAUCCGGCGGUGGCUUGUGGAAGCGCCGUCGCUCAACGGAUAAAAGGUACCCCGGGGAUAACAGGCUGAUCUUGCCCAAGAGUCCAUAUCGACGGCAUGGUUUGGCACCUCGAUGUCGGCUCGUCGCAUCCUGGGGCUGGAGUAGGUCCCAAGGGUUGGGCUGUUCGCCCAUUAAAGCGGUACGCGAGCUGGGUUUAGAACGUCGUGAGACAGUUCGGUCCCUAUCCUCUGCGCGCGCAGGAAACUUGAGAAGGGCUAUCCCUAGUACGAGAGGACCGGGAUGGACGGACCUCUGGUGUGUCAGUUGUUCUGCCAAGAGCACCGCUGAUUAGCUACGUUCGGAAGUGAUAACCGCUGAAAGCAUCUAAGCGGGAAGCACGCUUCAAGAUGAGGUUUCCAUGGGGUUCAUCCCCGAGAGGCUCCCAGCUAGACUACUGGGUUGAUAGGCCGGAUGUGGAAGUGCGGCAACGCAUGGAGCUGACCGGU